GUGUAGCGCAGGGGUAGCGCGCGUCGUUCGAGACGACGAGGCCGGAGGUUCAAAUCCUCUGCAGCACA
Molecule: transfer RNA, 68 nt
Filed under: Chloroflexota bacterium
Lineage: Bacteria; Bacillati; Chloroflexota
Description: tRNA-Ser
Rfam family: tRNA
About the family: Transfer RNA (tRNA) molecules are approximately 80 nucleotides in length. Their secondary structure includes four short double-helical elements and three loops (D, anti-codon, and T loops).
Source: RNAcentral